Molecule: long non-coding RNA, 210 nt
Filed under: Capsicum annuum
Lineage: Eukaryota; Viridiplantae; Streptophyta; Magnoliopsida; Solanales; Solanaceae
Description: long non-coding RNA (CANN_LNC004762)
Source: RNAcentral
GUAGAAGUUAGCACCGAGUGAACCCAAGAAUGGGAACUCACUUGUUAUAUGAGGGUAUGAUUUUUAGCAGUCAUCCUUGAGUUCCAGAACUAUGUAUCCAGCAUAGGUUGAGAUAUUGCAGCCUGCAAUAUGAGGGUAGAUGAGGUGGCUUAACCUGUUAUAUGAGGGUUCCCACCAUUCUCACUAGAGUUACCUGUUAUAUGCGGGUUG